This 76-nucleotide transfer RNA is filed under the name Puniceicoccales bacterium. Its description in RNAcentral is "tRNA-Arg". It matches the Rfam family "tRNA". From Rfam's summary of the family: Transfer RNA (tRNA) molecules are approximately 80 nucleotides in length. Their secondary structure includes four short double-helical elements and three loops (D, anti-codon, and T loops). The record is from RNAcentral. Lineage: Bacteria; Pseudomonadati; Verrucomicrobiota; Opitutia; Puniceicoccales.
GGGGAAGUAGCUCAGUGGAUAGAGCAGCGGUCUUCUAAACCGAAGGUCGUGGGUUCGACUCCCAUCUUCCCCGCCA